GGGGAACUCUUCCCUCCUCGCCACCCCCCAUCCCUGAAGCCAGCCACCACCACCACCACCACCAUCACACCCCAUCCGGCAGGCGGUCUUUUAGGCAAUUAAUUUCCCCUUAACUACCUAGUUAUUCCCCCUCCCAGUCCCUGUAGCAGCUACAUCAUGUAUUUUUUUUUUUUUAAAGUGAAGGAGGGGAACUUUCCUCUUGCCCCCUUCUCUGCAGCAAUUGCCACAGCUGCGGCUUUGAACGAAAAUGAAGGAGGCAGGAGGGGGACUUUCCUCUCCCCCCCCCCGUACUUUUUUUAAAGGGUGGCAAAAGCGUUUUUGCCUAUAGGUGGCAAAAAGGUUAAUCCACCCCUGUACAUAUGGGUUUAUAGACAUUCUAUUAUUGUUAAUUUGGUGACAAUAGGGAGGGCCAUGGGAUUGCAAGCCAGGAUUCCAAAUAAAUACCUGACUCCUCUAGUUAAUUCACUGUACGACUUGCCCUUGAUACUUAGGGGAGUCUAUGCUCCUUGAUUAUGUUUAAGUUACAUUACUGGGUCAUCAGUUCAUGGUUCCAUGAUUUUGCACGAGUGUCAGCAGCAGGCUCUUGCCUGCCACAUGAUCUGUUGAAGAGCACACCACAAAGUCCUGGCUGUAUCUUCCCUAGCAAGCAGGUCAUCAUGACAAGAAAGGAAGUUGAAGUCAGCACCAUGCCAGAACUUCCCCUUUAAGUUAAAGCUGUGAGUCUUUGAAAAGGAGGCGACCUAGCCCCACCCCAGUCAUCUCUAAUCUCAGCAUGCUAUAGUAGUGACAGGUAGAUCUUAAGGAACAAAGAGUAGAUCCUCAUAUUAAACAAUAGCUAUCAUGGCAUUAGCUAUCAUGGUUCAACUUGAUUCAAGAAAUGGGCACAAAUUCAGCAAACUGUUCAAUGAUUUAGAACUUAAAGGUCUAUGUGGUUCAUAGCUUCAGUAGUGAGCUCACUAUGAAAGCAUACUGACCACAUUUCUGACAUACAUGCUAUCUUCUCAGAUUAGUCUCAGGUGGAAGCUGUUGUUCUGGUCUGAAGUAGUUAGAUUUGCACAGUCCUCGUAGGCCAGUCUUUAUGCCAAUCACAAAGCAACCCUCUCCCUCCCUGUGCAGCUCUUGCACAGACCACUGAUUGGCUGACACUUGUGUUAGUCACAAAGCUACCUUCCCCAGUUCAGUUUUUCAAACUUAAAAAAAAGGGGGUGGGGUGGAGGAACCACCACAAGUGGAACCUCAUUGCCCCUGAAAUAUUUAUGCUGAAAUACACUGGGUAUUUCUAUCUGUUCGUUAAAACUUCUGAGUACAGUUUUGAGACUUUGCUUUGGGGCGGGGGGCUAGUCUUCAAAGCAAAGAUACUUCCCUUGCCUAUAGAUAUUUUUAAUGCUUUUGAUUAUAUGCUCAACUGUCAAUACUAGAGACAUACAUAUUUUAGUACUGUUCUGAAACUCCAACUGAGAUUCAAUGGCUUCUCCCUCUUCAUCCCUUCCUCUCUCUUCUUCCAACCCCACUUUUGGCUUACUUUAUAUGUUUGCAUCAUAUGUACUUCGAACAUCUCAAAUAUAAGUAAAAGAAAAGCAACAAAGAAAAUUUGAGAUGAGCAUUGAUAGACAGAAAAUGCAUCCUGACCUGUUUGCAAUCAGUGCUUGGAUGAUCCAUAUUUCGAGUAAUGAGAUCCUCAUAGUCAGUUAAUUCUCUGAGCUUACCACCCUGUAUCUGCAACUCCUUCCGUACUAUUGAACUGAUCUGGGAAUGCUGAAACCAAGAUGAAGAAAGCGGUGGUUGUUCAGAAGAUUUACUUUGGGCAAGGUGUUGGAUUAAACUAUGCAGAGUAUAUGAGUUCUCACUCCAAAAUUUAUACUUGUAUGAAGAUUCCUCUUCAUAGAAAUACACAUUCAAGAUUGAGGUCAAAGGCGAUAGCCUUGGACUUAUUAUUUUUUGAUAUUUAUCCCAGACGUAUAAAAGACUUUGCCUAAUGGCA
This is a long non-coding RNA of Hemicordylus capensis (graceful crag lizard), 1981 nucleotides long. RefSeq lists it as uncharacterized. The transcript is spliced from 2 exons. The record is from RefSeq and is a predicted model, not a curated record. NCBI's taxonomy places the organism in Eukaryota, Metazoa, Chordata, Lepidosauria, Squamata, Cordylidae.